Molecule: ribosomal RNA, 491 nt
Filed under: uncultured bacterium
Lineage: Bacteria
Description: partial 16S ribosomal RNA
Rfam family: Bacterial small subunit ribosomal RNA
Source: RNAcentral
UGGGGAAUAUUGGACAAUGGGGGCAACCCUGAUCCAGCCAUGCCGCGUGAGUGAUGAAGGCCUUCGGGUUGUAAAGCUCUUUUGGCGGGGACGAUGAUGACGGUACCCGCAGAAUAAGCCCCGGCUAACUUCGUGCCAGCAGCCGCGGUAAGACGAAGGGGGCUAGCGUUGUUCGGAAUUACUGGGCGUAAAGCGAGUGUAGGCGGUUGCCGUAGUCAGGUGUGAAAGCCUUGAGCUCAACUCAAGAAAUGCACUUGAUACCGGGUGACUAGAGGACCGGGAGAGGAUAGUGGAAUUCCCAGUGUAGUGGUGAAAUACGUAGAGAUUGGGAAGAACACCAGUGGCGAAGGCGGCUAUCUGGACGGUUACUGACGCUAAGACUCGAAAGCGUGGGGAGCAAACAGGAUUAGAUACCCUGGUAGUCCACGCCGUAAACGAUGGGUGCUAGACGUUGGCGAGCUUGCUCGUCAGUGUCGCAGCUAACGCGUUAA